GCUGGGCAUGGUGGUGCAUGCCUGUAAUCCCAGUACUCAGGAGGCUGAGGCAGGAGGAUCACUUGAGCCCUGGAGGUGGAGGCCGCAGUGAGCCAUGGUCACACCACUGCCCUCUAGCCUGGGUGACAGAGUGAGACCCUGUCUCCA
Unclassified non-coding RNA from Pongo abelii (Sumatran orangutan), 147 nucleotides. It matches the Rfam family "Metazoan signal recognition particle RNA". From Rfam's summary of the family: The signal recognition particle (SRP) is a universally conserved ribonucleoprotein. NCBI's taxonomy places the organism in Eukaryota, Metazoa, Chordata, Mammalia, Primates, Hominidae. The record is from Ensembl.